Molecule: ribosomal RNA, 487 nt
Filed under: Pichia occidentalis
Lineage: Eukaryota; Fungi; Ascomycota; Pichiomycetes; Pichiales; Pichiaceae
Description: partial large subunit ribosomal RNA
Rfam family: Eukaryotic large subunit ribosomal RNA
Source: RNAcentral
AUCGUGUUUCGGCACGAGUUGUAGAUUGCAGGUUGGAGUCUUUGUGGAAGCGUGUGUCUAAGUCCCUUGGAACAGGGUGCCAUUGAGGGUGAGAGCCCCGUGAGACGCGUGCGGAAGCUGUAAGGCCCUUCUGACGAGUCGAGUUGUUUGGGAAUGCAGCUCUAAGUGGGUGGUAAAUUCCAUCUAAGGCUAAAUAUUGGCGAGAGACCGAUAGCGAACAAGUACUGUGAAGGAAAGAUGAAAAGCACUUUGAAAAGAGAGUGAAACAGCACGUGAAAUUGUUGAAAGGGAAGGGUAUUGGGCUCGACAUGGGAUUUGCGCACCGCUGCUCCUUGUGGGCGGCGCUCUGUGCUUUUCCUGGGCCAGCAUCGGUUUUUGCCGCACGAGAAGGCGUGCUGGAAUGUGGCUCUUCGGAGUGUUAUAGCCAGUGCGAGAUGCUGCGUGCGGGGACCGAGGACUGCGACAUCUGUCUCGGAUGCUGGCACAA